AACGAACGCUGGCGGCAGGCUUAACACAUGCAAGUCGAGCGGACCCUUCGGGGUCAGCGGCGGACGGGUGAGUAACGCGUGGGAACGUGCCCUUUCCUCCGGAAUAGCCCUGGGAAACUGGGAGUAAUGCCGGAUACGCCCUUUUGGGGAAAGAUUUAUCGGGGAAGGAUCGGCCCGCGUUGGAUUAGGUAGUUGGUGGGGUAACGGCCUACCAAGCCGACGAUCCAUAGCUGGUUUGAGAGGAUGAUCAGCCACACUGGGACUGAGACACGGCCCAGACUCCUACGGGAGGCAGCAGUGGGGAAUCUUGGACAAUGGGGGCAACCCUGAUCCAGCCAUGCCGCGUGAUCGAUGAAGGCCUUAGGGUUGUAAAGAUCUUUCAGCUGGGAAGAUAAUGACGGUACCAGCAGAAGAAGCCCCGGCUAACUCCGUGCCAGCCGCCGCCGUAAAAC
Molecule: ribosomal RNA, 452 nt
Filed under: uncultured bacterium
Lineage: Bacteria
Description: bacterial SSU rRNA
Rfam family: Bacterial small subunit ribosomal RNA
Source: RNAcentral